Molecule: ribosomal RNA, 254 nt
Filed under: uncultured bacterium
Lineage: Bacteria
Description: partial 16S ribosomal RNA
Rfam family: Bacterial small subunit ribosomal RNA
Source: RNAcentral
UACGUAGGGUGCAGGCGUUAAUCGGAAUUACUGGGCGUAAAGCGUGCGCAGGCGGUUUGCUAAGACAGGUGUGAAAUCCCCAGGCUUAACCUGGGAACUGCAUCCGAUACUGGAUGGCUUGAAUCCGGGAGAGGGAUGCAGAAUUCCAGGUGUAGCGGUGAAAUGCGUAGAUAUCUGGAGGAAUACCGGUGGCGAAGGCGGCAUCCUGGACCGGCAUUGACGCUGAGCGAGCGAAAGCCAGGGGAGCAAACGGG